GCCUGAUGCAGCAACGCCGCGUGAGGGACGACGGCCUUCGGGUUGUAAACCUCUUUUAGCAGGGAAGAAGCGAAAGUGACGGUACCUGCAGAAAAAGCACCGGCUAACUACGUGCCAGCAGCCGCGGUAAUACGUAGGGUGCAAGCGUUAUCCGGAAUUAUUGGGCGUAAAGAGCUCGUAGGCGGUUUGUCGCGUCUGCUGUGAAAACUGGGGGCUCAACCCCCAGCCUGCAGUGGGUACGGGCAGACUAGAGUGCGGUAGGGGAGAUUGGAAUUCCUGGUGUAGCGGUGGAAUGCGCAGAUAUCAGGAGGAACACCGAUGGCGAAGGCAGAUCUCUGGGCCGUAACUGACGCUGAGGAGCGAAAGGGUGGGGAGCAAACAGGCUUAGAUACCCUGGUAGUCCACCCCGUAAACGUUGGGAACUAGUUGUGGGGUCCAUUCCACGGAUUCCGUGACGCAGCUAACGCAUUAAGUUCCCCGCCUGGGGAGUACGGCCGCAAGGCUAAAACUCAAAGGAAUUGACGGGGACCCGCACAAGCGGCGGAGCAUGCGGAUUAAUUCGAUGCAACGCGAAGAACCUUACCAAGGCUUGACAUAUACGAGAACGGGCUAGAAAUAGUCAACUCUUUGGACACUCG
RNAcentral lists this ribosomal RNA (638 nucleotides) under Microbacterium sp. Se2Ps_626. RNAcentral describes it as "bacterial SSU rRNA". It matches the Rfam family "Bacterial small subunit ribosomal RNA", at positions 381 to 1030 of the family's 1533-position model. Lineage: Bacteria; Bacillati; Actinomycetota; Actinomycetes; Micrococcales; Microbacteriaceae. The record is from RNAcentral.